AGAAAAUGGGUGGGCUGGGAGCAGAUACUGCAGUGAUCUGGAACCUACUCUUCAGGAAGCAUCUCUCUCUCUCAUUGGUCCCUGAUGAAUCUCAGCCACCAUGGAGAAUUAACCAGGAGGCAGACCAGGUGCUUGAGAGCUACUAAUGAACCCUAACUCUAAGGACUAAUACAAUGGUCCUGAGCUUGAUUCUGUGUGAAAUCCUGGAGAGAUAACACUCUGCUGAAGUACAGGCCAGAGUUCUAAGUGGAAGGAAAAGGAGUAUGCCUAAUUUGCUCUGCUAUCCCAGUUACAUAAGCACCUAGAGAAAAUGAACAGAAGAAGCCUGAUUGAUAAACCCUGAAGUUUGUUCUUAAACGUGACUCCGUCCUUUCUCAGGCAAACAC
Molecule: long non-coding RNA, 386 nt
Organism: Mauremys reevesii (Reeves's turtle)
Lineage: Eukaryota; Metazoa; Chordata; Testudines; Geoemydidae
Exons: 3
Source: RefSeq, a predicted model, not a curated record